This 26-nucleotide small RNA is filed under the name Bombyx mori (domestic silkworm). RNAcentral's name for it is "ovarian small RNA-11037". Lineage: Eukaryota; Metazoa; Arthropoda; Insecta; Lepidoptera; Bombycidae. The record is from RNAcentral.
ACACGGAAGGAAAAGAUGUCCAGUGU